CAUCAGUGUAAUUGUGCAGACUCUUUUGGAUAUUGACUAUUCUUGACUAGAUAUAGUAGUUCAGUUGCAUCAAGGAAGAUGCAACCAUGCUAUUGGCAUGAGAUGCUGUGGGGUGGAGAUGGAGUUGGGCUCAAUAUUUUGGAUAUGGUGAGGGUCUCAAUGACGGCUCUAUUUCAUAUUAAUGGUGGGUCUGAUGACUU
Molecule: long non-coding RNA, 200 nt
Filed under: Elaeis guineensis (African oil palm)
Lineage: Eukaryota; Viridiplantae; Streptophyta; Magnoliopsida; Arecales; Arecaceae
Description: long non-coding RNA (EGUI_LNC058478)
Source: RNAcentral